RNAcentral lists this unclassified non-coding RNA (248 nucleotides) under Hevea brasiliensis (rubber tree). The record is from RNAcentral. Lineage: Eukaryota; Viridiplantae; Streptophyta; Magnoliopsida; Malpighiales; Euphorbiaceae.
AUGACAAGGAAUAUAAACAAGGAGAAGGCAACGAUGAUGAUAAAAUUGGGAACUGGGAGGACUCUGCCACAGAUCAGGCUAGGAUGGAAGAAGAAGUUGAUUCAGAACUCGAAGCUCAACUUUCUAAUAAACCUGAAACAGAAGCAUCAUUGCUGAAAGAGGAUACAGCAGGAGAGAACGACGAACCCUUGGCUAAAUCUGAAACUGGAGAAAAUGCUGGCACUAAAGAAUCAUCUGAAGAAGUCCUG